Cavia porcellus (domestic guinea pig) is the source of this 107-nucleotide small nuclear RNA. The record is from Ensembl. NCBI's taxonomy places the organism in Eukaryota, Metazoa, Chordata, Mammalia, Rodentia, Caviidae.
GUGCUCGCUUCAGUAGCACAUAUACUGAAAUUGGAACAAUACAGAGAAGAUUAGCAUGGCCGCUGUGCAAGGAUGACAUACAAAUUCGUGAAGUGUUCCACAUUAAA